RNAcentral lists this ribosomal RNA (854 nucleotides) under uncultured bacterium. RNAcentral describes it as "bacterial SSU rRNA". It matches the Rfam family "Bacterial small subunit ribosomal RNA", at positions 57 to 916 of the family's 1533-position model. The record is from RNAcentral.
GCAAGUCGAGCGGGGUUUAUCGGAUUAGCUUGCUAAACUGAUAAACCUAGCGGCGGACGGGUGAGUAACGCGUGAGCAAUCUGCCUCAUACAGGGGGAUAACAGGUGGAAACACCUGCUAAUACCGCAUAAGACUCCACUACCGCAUGGUAGAGAAGUCAAAGGGAUUACCGGUAUGAGAUGAGCUCGCGUCCCAUUAGCUAGUUGGUAGGGUAAAGGCCUACCAAGGCGACGAUGGGUAGCCGACCUGAGAGGGUGAUCGGCCACACUGGGACUGAGACACGGCCCAGACUCCUACGGGAGGCAGCAGUGGGGAAUAUUGCACAAUGGAGGGAACUCUGAUGCAGCAACGCCGCGUGAGUGAAGAAGGUUUUCGGAUCGUAAAACUUUGUCAUUGGGGAAGAAUAAAUGACGGUACCCAAUGAGGAAGCCCCGGCUAACUACGUGCCAGCAGCCGCGGUAAUACCUAGGGGGCAAGCGUUGUCCGGACUUACUGGGCGUAAAGGGUACGUAGGCGGCUAUAUAAGUCAGGUGUGAAAUUCCAGUGCUUAACACGGGAAUUGCAUUUCAAAACCCGUAGCCAUAGUUCAUGAGAGGAACCUGGACUUCCUCGUGUGGCUAUGAACACGCGAGCCAAUCGAGGAACACCAGUGGCGAAGGCGACUUUCUGGCCUGUCAAUACGCUGAGGUACGAAAGCCCGGGUUUCGAACAGGAUUCGUUACCUUUAUAGCACACGCCUCAAACGAUGGACACCAGGUGUCGGGGGGCCAUCCCCCCCCUGUGCCCGAGUUAACCCAAUAAGUAUCCCUCCUGGGGAGUACGGUCGCAAGCAUCAAACUCCAAGGAAUUGAUGG